GAUGCUAGGGGUGCGAAAGCUGAGAUUGAGCGCAAGCUCUGACCCUCAUUACUUGAACCGGGUAAUACCGGCGGAAGGAAGCGAUGAUAUC
RNAcentral lists this non-coding RNA (91 nucleotides) under bovine gut metagenome. The record is from RNAcentral.